AAUCCGGCUGACAUAGUUGCUGAUCCUGGGCUUAGAAAACCAAUUGAGCAAUUUCAUAUAGACAUUAGAGAUGCUGUUAGAAGGGAAUACUUGUCAAGAGGUCCAUGCCAACCAAUUGGUCAUAAAUAUCCACAGAAGUUAAUGGGAAAUCGACAAAGAAGCUUUCAUGACUCGUGGUUCAAAAUGCAUAAUUGGUUGGAGUAUAGUAUUGCCAAAGAUGCAGCAUUCUGUUUUUAUUGUUAUCUUUUCAAGCAACCAAGACCUGAUAAUUUUGGUGUUGAUGCUUUCACAAGUAAGGGCUUUACUAAUUGGAAACAUGCA
RNAcentral lists this small RNA (321 nucleotides) under Oryza sativa Japonica Group (Japanese rice). Its description in RNAcentral is "sRNA Os11g0247800". Lineage: Eukaryota; Viridiplantae; Streptophyta; Magnoliopsida; Poales; Poaceae. The record is from RNAcentral.